Hypanus sabinus (Atlantic stingray) is the source of this 1903-nucleotide long non-coding RNA. RefSeq lists it as uncharacterized. The record is from RefSeq and is a predicted model, not a curated record. The transcript has 4 exons. Lineage: Eukaryota; Metazoa; Chordata; Chondrichthyes; Myliobatiformes; Dasyatidae.
GAUUAGCUAAUCAGAGGUCAAAGUUCUGGUUAUAACUGGAGGUGAAAGGAUAUGUGACUGGCAGUUUAAGAUAUACUUUCACAAGCAUUUUAUGUCUUUAUAGCCAAGGAAUCUCAGAUUGAAAUACAAAGAAACAUUAUGCUCGAAGUCAAAGGACCACUUCAGAAGCUUUUUAACUAUCAAAGGUCCACAGCAGUUUUCUGGGUCACUGCAAUAAAUGAAAUAUUGUUUCCUCCUGCUUAACAGAGUAUUCGAUGGAAAAAUGCAUUCAAUGGCAAAGCAGAUUUGAAGUGAUUACUAAAUUUUUAAAACAAAAUAUGACAUUACUGUGUAAUGUAUUAAUAAUUCCCAGCAAAUGUCAAUACACCAGGAAUUUUAUCUCAUGCCUCUCGCCAUCUCUGGCUGGUUGAUUUUUGGUUAGCAUGGUGCCAUUACAGCUCCUGGCAUUCCAGAGUUUCUAUGUUCUCCCCAUGAGUGUGUGGGUUUCCUCCAGGUGCUCCGGUUUUACCCCACAAUCCAAGGAUGUACCGGCACUUUAAUGGAUUCUAAGCAGACGUCCACAGUACUGGUGGAAACCGAAGGGAACAGCUUCAGUGUUUAUGGAAGCUACAAGGCAUUGGACCACAAGACGAGAUUUGAACGAGCUCCCUGGAUGUGUAGAGUGCCCUCCUGCUUCAAAACAUCCACCAUUGUCCCUCUACCUAAAAAGACCAAGGUAACAUGUCUGACCUGCAGCAUGCUGCCACCCACACUGGACCCACUACAACUUGCCAACUGACACAACCGUACAACAGAUGACACAAUAGCCGCAGCUCGACACACCUUCCUUACACAUCUGGAGAAGAAGGAUGCAUAUGUGAGAAUGUUGUUCUUGGACUACAGUUCAACAUUCAAGACCAUAAUUCCCUCCAGGUUUGACCAGAGACCUCAGCCUUCACCCUGCCUUGUUCAGUUGGAUCCUGGACUUUCUGUCAGAUUGCUGGCAGGAGGUAAGAGUGGGCUCCCUCACCUCUGUCCCUCUGACCCUCAACAUAGGUUCUCCUCAGGGCUGCAUCCUAAGCCCCCUCCUUUACGCUCUGUAUACCCAUGACUGAGUCGCCACCCACAGCUCCAAUAUGCUAAUUAAAUUUGUUGAUGAUACUGCAUUGAUUGGCCUUAUCUCAGAUAACAGCCUACAGAGAAGAAGACAUCACCUGACACAGUGGUGUCAAGAAAACAACCUCUCCCUCAAUGUUGCAAGAAGAAAGGAGCUGGUUGUGCUCUACAAGAGGAAUGGAGACAAGCUAACCCCUAUUGAUGUCAAUUAUCUGAGGAUGAGUGGGUAAAGAGCUUUAAUUUUCUUGGCAUACACAUCACAGAGGACCUCACGUGGUCUCUACACACCGACACUAUGAUGAGAAAAGCACAACAGCGCCUCUUCACCUUAGGUGGUUGAAGAAGUUUGGCACGAGUCCCCAAAUCCUAAGUAAUUUUACAGGGGCGCAACUGAGAGCAUCCUGACUGGCUGCAUCACUGCCUGGUAUGGGAACUGUACUUCCCUCAAUCGCAGGACUCUGCAGAGAGUGGUGCAGAUAGCCCAGCAUAUUUGUGGUUGUGAACUUCCCACUAUUCAGGAUACUUACAGAGACAGGUGCACAAAAAGGGCCCAAAGGAUCAUUGGGGAGCCGAGUCACCCCAACCACAGACUUUUCCAGUUACUACCAUCUGAGCAAUGGUACCCGCAGCAUAAAAGCCAGGACCAGCAGGCUCCAGGACAGCUUCUUCCACCAGGCCAUCAGACUGAUUAAUUCACGCUAAUACAAUUGUAUUUCUGUGCUAUAUUGACUGUCCUGUUGUACAUAUUAUUAAUUACAAAUUACUAUGAAUUGCAGUUUGCACAUUUAGAUGGAGACAUAACGUAGAG